Long non-coding RNA from Carassius gibelio (silver crucian carp), 5118 nucleotides. RefSeq lists it as uncharacterized. The record is from RefSeq and is a predicted model, not a curated record. The transcript is spliced from 2 exons. Lineage: Eukaryota; Metazoa; Chordata; Actinopteri; Cypriniformes; Cyprinidae.
UUUAUGGGUCAUUCCUAAACCUGUACCUUUAAAAGAGCUACCAAAAUGUGUAGCAAUUAGUGUAUUGCAUCUAGCAGCAAGCACUCAAUAACCAGCAAAACCGUGAUCAUUUGGUGAUUCUGCAAAACUGGGAAGGUUUUUUGACUGAUUUGAGUUAAAAUUAGCCAUAUAUUUAUAGUCUAUCACAGCUAUCCCAUCACAUUGCUGCUCUUCUGCCAGUCUCUUUCUACACCAGGUUUGGCCUCUUGCCUGGGCGACACCAGUAAACCUUCUUUGCAUACUUAGAAGCAGCAAAACGCGUCUGGAAAACACAUCAACAUUCUUAUCCAUCAUUCAGCUUCUGAACUCCAAUGUCAAGGCAUGCACACACACACAGACACACACACACACACACAGUAAUCCAGACAGAAAGUUUCCUAGGCAACACCAAAGCAAGUGUUUCAUCAGUGUUUAUUUACUCUGUAAGUGUGUUUGCAUGUAUUUGUGGACACAUGCAGAGAGCAAAGUGCGCUUAGAGACUCACUUAGUGUCAAUGAAGCUCAGUUUGACCGGCGAGUGUUCCACAAGCUCUGUGUUUAUGUGUCAAUCAACCAAAACACAAACAGACUGUACUGACAAAAUCAGUCACAAAAUCUGUCACGAGGGAACACGCACAAACACUGCCAAAAAGAACAGGCUAGACCAGCCUACAAUGGUUAGAUUGUCUGAUUGGAUUCAUAGGGGGUGUUGGGCACAAGCUGGAGUUUAGUUCGUAGCCAGCUGGUCUCCAAGCCUGACUGGCUGGCUGCCAGGUAAAUACCAGUCUGACCAGGCUGCUAAACCACCUAAGACUAGGUGUUUUUUUUUCCUCAGCACACAUUACCUUAAACCUCAGUGGUCAGGGAACUUCCCUAAAGGCGCAUCACUUUGUAAGGUGUUUUUUUUUUUUUUGGCUAUUUUCAGCAAUGUAGCAAUUAAGAAGCACACUUCAAAACAAGAAGUUUUCUGUUGGUGAACACAAAAUUGUUGUAAAGACUAGACUCUCCCCCUCUAAAAUUCAAUGUUACAUGAACAAUGUUAAAUGUGACUGCAACUUUUAAGUAGUAAAUCAAAAUCUACAGUCACCAAUCUAUAAGUUUGAGUCUGUUGUUUGGUUUUUAUUUCAUUGAAAUAAACUAGACUGUGUGCUAAUAAGCUGGCUAGACUGUUGGAAAUUGAAUGUACAUUGUUAUUUGAAGUUAACAUGAAUAAUAAAUGAAUGUGAACACAAUAAGUUAUAAGUUACAAUAAGCUAAUAAGUUAGGUCAAAAGGUGGCGACAAGUGAUAUCUUUAUGAGUGAAUCAUUUAUUCAUUUAUCCUGUCAUUUGAUUCGUUCAAACAGACUGAAUCGUUCAGGAACCAAACAAGUGGCCUCAAUAAGCGAGUGAGUCAUUGAAUCAGUCAUGCAACAGAUUCAUUUCACAUUGAUUCUUUCAAGAAGGUGGCUACUGCGAUUAGAGACCAGUGGCUUGAUUUGUUUGUUGGCGGAGCACAAGUAUACAAACUAACUGACAAUGUUGUGUCUAAAAUGUGAGUUACUCAAUAUUGUGUGAAUAAUAUUGUGUUAACACACACUGGUGUGAAAAUGAGUCUGUGAUUACCUGGGACCAAAUCGUAGUCCUGCUGAUUUUUAACAGCAUUCUUUUUUUGAUAUUACUUUUUAUGAAAUUAUGGCUGCUUUUUGUCAAUUAUAAUUGUAUUAAUGUAUUAUUUUCGGUCAAACAACUUGCUAAUCACUUUUUUGUAAAUACUGCAUUACAAGAAUGGUUGGCGUUAGCAUAACUUUAAAUCAUGGGGUAAACAAUCGCUCAUAAACAAUCAGAGCAUGGCGAAUGAACAGAAACGUUGUCCUUGUCACACAGGUUUUCAUAUUUACUUUUGUGUUUGUUUUGCCUUUCGUCGCACCUGUGAACUCUCAGUUGAAAUAGUACAUUUAAGUCAGGAAUACUAAUGCGAAUGCUAAUUCACUCCUGUUGUCUGUUCAUUUGGUUUCCUGCAGACAAAAGGGCAUUUUGCCAUUCAACAAGAUCUGCCAGCCACACACACACACACACACGUUUGAUUUUGUAUCAUAAUAGGGUCUUGACUUCUACCGUUAUAUACUAAGUUAAUUAUAUUUUGCUUCCCCUAAACCUGAUGCAAAUCAAUCAGCAUUUUUAUGUUGUCAUUAACAAUUGUUUAAUGUGUUUACGAAGUGAUUUUUCUUACAAGGUCCAUUGUGUUUAUUUUUAGGUUCAACUAUGCUCAUAGGGACAUUUGGUUCCCAUAAUACUGCCAAAACCUAAUGGAUACACUCAUAAACACACUCUAGAGACACACUUGAUCAUCUUUGGCUUGUGAAUCAUUUUAGGACUGUGUGCAUUUACAUGCUUCGUUUUAGUUCAUCAUUUUUGUUUUGCUCAGCAAAUGGGCAAUUUCACAUUCCAGAGUCAAAACAGUGUUAGGACUUUGAAGGGAAGAAUGUGUCUUUGAAUAUUCAGAGAGCACAUGAUGACUAACUGUCAGACACACACACACCCACACACACACACAUGGACUAAUCCUCUUACUCUCAGCCUGAGCUGAAGGGCUUGGCUGGUCAUGACUGUUUCUGGCAGCCUCUGCUACCUGCUGCUGUCAGAAGCUCAUCAUGCCACAUGUUUCUCAGUGUGUGUGUGUGUGUGUGUGUCCGAGGCAUAAGGCGGUAAGUGAACAUGAUUGUGUCCAAUGUUCAAUAACACGGAACAUGUAAAAUUAAUCAAACACGACUAAUUCUGACACAUCCGACAUUCUGGGUUUGGAUGCACGACCUCAGUUUGUGUGUGUGUUCAAAAGUAUUUCUCUGUUUGUUCAAAUAGACUGACUUCUUCAUAGACCUUCCAGAAACCACGGCAACAGCAUCCCCUCAUGCUAGACUGUGUUGUGAUGUCACAAAGGGCUGUACACAGUUGCCUUGGCAAUGACUGCACACUUCUGAUAUGAAGCCCUAGUGGUUUUUUCGUGCAUCUAACUGGCUCCAAGAGAAUUAGCAUACAGAAAUAACUACUGUUUGUUGUAUCCAGAACAUUGUAAUGCUGCACAAAGCCGGAUUUCUUGAGCUGCUUCUCUUUGAGGUUGGAUUAUGGUUUUAUUCCAAAUUGGAAUAGACAUAUAAGUCACAAUAUUCUCCUGGCCUCUACAAUAUAAAUUAGAGUGAAAUACAUUGAGACAAAUCACAAUUAAUUUUACACACUUUAAAGCCCAGUUAGAGCAAUUUUUUUUUUUAAAUCAAUUCUGUAGAAUCAGACUUACAAUGGAAAUCUAUGGGAAAAGGCAUAGAAGAUUUAAAAGCAAUGCCAAUUCAUAUAUUUGGUAAAACAUAUAUCUAUAAUUCAUAAUAAUAUCAUUUUAAUUAUUAUGUAAUUCUAAUUCUUUCUUUCUUUCUUAUAGUUUAUAUAUGUAAAAAAAAUUAUUGCUUUGGCGCAAUUUUAACAAGAAAUUGGUACAUUUUCAUACUCUUAGUACUAAUAUCACAACAGAUCAUCAAAGUGCACUGUUUCAGCAUUUUCAAUUGUGUUAGUAUACACACAAUCACAAAAAUUCACUACACAAAAUAAGUGUUUCAUCUAUGUUUCAUUCACAGUUACUGCCUUUCAUAAAGCUAUCACUAUCAAACUUUUCAUUAGCAGGACAGCUCUUACAGUUGAAUACAUUCAUCUAAUAUUUAAUCGAAAUUGAGCAUCGCGUUAGUUCAGUCAGGCCACGUUAGUCACGCUUGCAUCAGCUGACAGUCAGCUGUUCCUGACGUGUACCAAUCCCGUCUUGACACCUAUCACCUGCGGUCUAUUUAAAUUCCCAUUCUUCAGUGUCUCUUCCAUCGCAUCGCUGCUUGCAAUUUACUCCCUCCUCCAACCCCAACUCCACCAACUGAACCUGUAAUCUGAUCUAACUUGUUCUUUCUUUACAGUCUCUUCAAUGGAAGCAGUCUCUAUGACAUUUUGUUUACAACUCAUGUAAUUGUGAAUUGUAAUUAUUUAUGCUUAUAAUGGUUCUGUUCUGUACCCCAGGGGGGUUUGUCUUGCUGCUCUCCCCGCUCUGUCCAAGCAUGGCUGCAUGGACAGGCGUGAGGCGUGUGGAGUGUUGCCCAGAACAUAAACAUACCGCCAACACUAACUGUAUGCAAUUAUAAUUGUCAUUAAAUAUACUUGACGGAAGUGGUCCUGAUUGAACUCAUAUUAAUGGUUAAUCAGUGAAUUAUUUGGUGCAUCUAUAGAUAUAGAUUCCAUAGAUAUUUCGUUUCUAUAGAACAUGGGGUCUAUUUUAUGGGGUCAAAAUGUCCACACAAAGAUGCUAAUAUCUGAAAUUAUUGUGCUGUUUGGGGUCUAUUUAGAAUUUUUUUUUUUUUUGUAAAAGUAGGUUUAGGAGUAGGGUUAGUGUAGGGGGAGACAGUAUAAAACCCAUUACUCCUAUGGAAUGUCACCCAUAGACCAUAUAAAAACAUGUCACCAUAAUGUGUGAAGUGUAGUUUUUUUUUGUUGCAUUAUUAUUACUACAUUCAAACCUGAACACAGAAAGCACUUUGCAACAGAAAACAUUAACAUUCUAUAAAAAUGUAACAUAAAUUAACAGGAAUUCUUUAUCAGAGUUGAAUCCUUCUGGGUCUGAUCUUACCCUCAUACCAGUUCAUAGGUGUGUAUGGGCACCCUAUUAUAGCACUUAAACUCAGAAAAACUUUCUUCUUUCAGACAAAUUUAAUGAGUGAUCAGUCCAAAAGAAGUUAAAUAAAACACCUCCUGUAGCUAAUCAAUGCAUUUUUCUGAGAAAAAUAUCCAUAUUCAAAACGUAAUAAUCACUUACAUUUUUGCCAACAGUUGUGCACAGAAGCUGGGGGAAUGACGUAUGAGGUCAGCGCUGCGCAUCCACUGGUGAGUCUCGGGGAAAAACAACAUUUGUUAACAGGAGCAAAGUUUAAUGUGGCUUAUAUUGAAAUCUUCUGACUUCAUCUUUACAAGUUCACUAGUAUUUUCACUGUGUAUUCAACUGUGUAUUGUAACCUUUAUACAGUGUAAUGUUUUAACCCAAUUAACUGUCGUUGUAACUGGAUUGUUCAAAAUGAGUAAACCUUAGUGUAAAGAGCUUAA